ACUAUGAUUGCUGAGAAUGAUGGAAUGAUAGAUGGUCCAGGUUUUAAUAGUCCUGAAUCCCUACUGAUGGCCUCUUGUUUCCAGUUAAUUCUACAGACAAUGUGUUCUCUGUUCUCAUGGUAAGUAUAUGUCCUGGUUUUAACAGUCCUGAAUCCUUACUGAUGGCCUCUUGUUUCCAGUUAAUUCUACAGACAAUGUGUUCUCUGUUCUCAUGGUAAGUAUAUGUCCUGGUUUUAAUAGUCCUGAAUUCUUACUGAUGGCCUCUUGUUUCCAGUUAAUUCUACAGACAAUGUGUUCUCUGUUCUCAUGGUAAGUAUAUGUCCUGGUUUUAACAGUCAUGAAUCCUUACUGAU
This 353-nucleotide long non-coding RNA is filed under the name Mytilus galloprovincialis (Mediterranean mussel). The record is from RNAcentral. Lineage: Eukaryota; Metazoa; Mollusca; Bivalvia; Mytilida; Mytilidae.